AUCGCUUCUCGGCCUUUUGGCUAAGAUCAAGUGUAGUAUCUGUUCUUAUCAGUUUAAUAUCUGAUACGUCCUCUAUCCGAGGACAAUAUAUUAAAUGGAUUUUGGAGCAGGGAGAAUAGGAGCUUGCUCCGUCCACCUACGCAUCGACCUGGUAUUGCAGUACCUCCAGGAACGGUGCACCUCUC
RNAcentral lists this small nuclear RNA (185 nucleotides) under Macaca fascicularis (crab-eating macaque). RNAcentral describes it as "U2 spliceosomal RNA (ENSMFAG00000064259.1)". It matches the Rfam family "U2 spliceosomal RNA". From Rfam's summary of the family: U2 is a small nuclear RNA (snRNA) component of the spliceosome (involved in pre-mRNA splicing). Complementary binding between U2 snRNA (in an area lying towards the 5' end but 3' to hairpin I) and the branchpoint sequence (BPS) of the intron results the bulging out of an unpaired adenosine, on the BPS, which initiates a nucleophilic attack at the intronic 5' splice site, thus starting the first of two transesterification reactions that mediate splicing. Lineage: Eukaryota; Metazoa; Chordata; Mammalia; Primates; Cercopithecidae. The record is from Rfam by way of RNAcentral.